GUGCUCACUUCAGCAGCACAUAUACUAAAAUUGGAACGAUACAGAGGAGAUUAGCAUGGCCCCUGUGCAAGGAUGACACGCCAAUUCGUGAAGCGUUGCAUAUUUAU
RNAcentral lists this small nuclear RNA (107 nucleotides) under Echinops telfairi (small Madagascar hedgehog). The record is from RNAcentral. Lineage: Eukaryota; Metazoa; Chordata; Mammalia; Afrosoricida; Tenrecidae.